GGACUACCGGGGUAUCUAAUCCUGUUCGCUCCCCACGCUUUCGCUCCUCAGCGUCAGGUAAGGCCCAGAGAACCGCCUUCGCCACCGGUGUUCCUCCCGAUAUCUGCGCAUUUCACCGCUACACCGGGAAUUCCAUUCUCCCCUACCUACCUCUAGUCUGCCCGUAUCCACUGCAAGGCCAGGGUUAAGCCCCAGCUUUUCACAGCAGACGUGACAGUCCGCCUACGAGCUCUUUACGCCCAAUAAUUCCGGACAACGCUUGCGCCCUACGUGUUACCGCGGCUGCUGGCAC
RNAcentral lists this ribosomal RNA (292 nucleotides) under uncultured bacterium. RNAcentral's name for it is "partial 16S ribosomal RNA". The record is from RNAcentral.